RNAcentral lists this transfer RNA (76 nucleotides) under Acidobacteriota bacterium. Its description in RNAcentral is "tRNA-Thr". It matches the Rfam family "tRNA". Rfam says of the family: Transfer RNA (tRNA) molecules are approximately 80 nucleotides in length. Their secondary structure includes four short double-helical elements and three loops (D, anti-codon, and T loops). The record is from RNAcentral. Lineage: Bacteria; Pseudomonadati; Acidobacteriota. RNAcentral also lists the same sequence under 2 other names.
GCCGGUGUAGCUCAGUUGGUAGAGCAUCUGACUUGUAAUCAGAAGGUCGUCGGUUCGAUUCCGACCGCCGGCUCCA